AUAUUUCUAUCUCCAUAGCGGAUAAAAUAAAUGCAUCACAUAAGGUUGACACGAAGGUCAUUAAAGUGACAAUCAUAUGGCUCCAGCCAUCAUGCCGAAUCAUGACACGCAUGUCAUGUUAAUUUACAUCAUAUAGUCAUCUCAUACAUAAUCAAAUUGAAUAUGAGCUUGCUAUACCACAUCACAUGCCAUCCUGCGAAACCAAGUUAGACGCCUCCUAUUGGUUUAUGCAAAAUUUUAUUUUACGUGGCUUCUAAGGUUUUGACUUAAACCGCAGCUAACAACGUUUAUCAUCAAGUAUGAUCGUUCAAGUCGCUAGAUUAACUUUGCAGGGUGUAUGAAGCACGAGAUAAUAAAAUCUCGAACCCCAUACUAAACUUCGUCAUACGCGUGACCCCCGUGCAGAUCAUAUCUGCAUUGCCCUUUUGUCUGCACAAUUUCAUCUUUCUCUCAACUAUGGUGGAACCCAAAGAACUGAUAACACUUCAUUGAUCAAUCAAGAUCGCAGAUUUGCCAGAACUUUGUCAAAUUACACCAUGCCGUUUCAAGAUCAGAAAUACGCAAAUUCUAGGGAAGCAACAAGAACAUUGGGUAACAGAUUUCAUCUGCCACCCGCAUAAAUAAUUUUCAACAAUAGAUCUCACCAACUCCAAAAUUAUAUUAUGCAAUACCCAUACAUCUCCAUGUAUUCUAGAUCUUAACCUGCAUCUACGCAUAGCACGGCUCUUGAUGCCACUGUAGGGGAACACAACAGAAAACAAAAAAAAUUGGUAUAGCGAGCACGCCUAGGACCACUAUGGAGACUGCAUACAAUGUUUGAUCUGAUCCGUACCGACUCGAGCGUAGCGGAAGAAGAGUCGGUGGAGAUCGUCGGUGCAGAUCCCCGCAGCUAGGAUUUACAACCUCCCAACUGCGAGGAUGUACUCCCUCUCCGGACAGCCCUUCGGGAGGCGGUCGGACAGUCCCCCGGACAAUGUCGCGGACAGCCCUUCGGGAGGACCCUCGAAACUCGGACGGUAACUCAGACAGCCCUUCGGGAGGAUACUCGAACAGCCCCUAGGGCACAAGAUCGAAACUACAAUCUCUCUACGGGGUUGCACGCAUACGGUGUCAGCUAUCCAGCAGGGCUUCGCCGUCCAGAACUAGUUCCUGCCGGAACCAAGACAGCCUUUCGGCUCUACGAAACUAUUUCGCUGGGAGGGAGAGAGAAGCCAGAAUGUCAUGGCAUGUGUAUGAGAGCAAGGGAUGAAGAGAUGGCAGCCCUCACCUCCUCUAUUUAUAGUAAAGCCAAGGGGUAGUGUGCCUCCACAAAUUUACCAAAAAUACCAUGCAUUAGGUCACACAUGAGGCUGUUAAGGUCAAAAUGGGAUGCCAUGUGGAGCUCCAAGGAGCUCCACCACCCAUGGCCGGCCACCCCUAGCCCCCCCCCCAAAUGGGGUUCCUUCCCUUUUAAGCCACUUCCUUCUAGAACUUAGACCAAGUCCAAAAAGGUGGCUCUCCAUAAAUAUCGCAAAAACAACUUUCACUAUUCAUGACAACAUUUUUGAGCAUCCGUUCAAACUGAAAAUAUUUAUGCGGGCUUAGAACAUUUCCAGUACCCACUAAAAUAAUUUUCAACACGUCCUGAAACAAUUCCGGUUUAGUGAUUUUCAUCUGCGAAACGCAUUUGAAGUGGCUCCAGCAGCUCUGGAACAUUUCCGGUUUUUAUGUUGGAAAAUUCCAAAAAGCUUCCAGAAUGAUUCUGGCACCCUCCAAGAAUUAUCAGGCAUGUGCCGAAACCAAUUUGACUUAACAGUAUAUCCCGAAACAACUUUUCGGUUUCAUUGAAACUUAUCCCAAUCUUGAGGUAUCUUAUUACUUCUCAUACAUUUCCAUGAACCCGUAAGCCGCCGUAAUAGCCACCCAGUUACGGAUGACGUUUAACAAACCCCAAAGUUCACGAAGCAAGAACGAAGGAACUCGAUACUCUCAUGGUCUAAGUCAUUAUGCAAACAUUAACUAUCUCAAUGAUAUUAAUCAUAAACUUGUGACGAACAUCAAUUUGGGUCGAUUCAACACUUGUGUUCUACCAACAUCGUGCCCUCAAAAUUGCGAGCAUAGAGAUGCCUAUGAUCAGGAAAAUGGGAUCAUCAUGCAAUACUUGAGCCAUUCUUAGAGGCAAGACUAGGAAUACAUUUAACCGUUUAGUAUACCACACGUGCACAUGAGUUUCCCUCCGAGCCUCGUGGAUAUUGCAGACUCAAGAAUCAUUGCAGUUAUAGCAUGGAAGCUAAACCUUGAUUACAAAAAAACUGUUAUUACCGUCUCUAGGGCAUAUCUCCUACAGACCAAACGUCACAACAUAAAUGGGUGAUUAUAAAGGUGCUCUACAGGUGUCUCUGAAGGUGUUUGUUGGGUUGGCAUAUAUCGAGAUUAGGAUUUGUCACUCCGUGUUUCGGAGAGGUAUCUCUUGGCCCUCUCGGUAAUACUCAUCACUAUAAGCCUUGCAAGCAUUGUAACUAAUGAGUUAGUUACGGGAUGAAGUAUUACGGAACGAGUAAAGAGACAUGUGAUGUCUACUACACAACCUUCUUAUUGUAGACGUUGUUGGGCCUCCAAGUGCAGAGGUUUGUAGGACAGUAGCAAAUUUCCCUCAAGUGGAUGACCUAAGGUUUAUCAAUCCGUGGGAGGCAUAGGAUGAAGAUAGUCUAUCUCAAACAACGCUGCAACCAAAUAACAAAGAGUCUCUUGUGUCCCCAACACACCCAAUACAAUGAUAAAUUGUAUAGGUGCACUAGUUCGGCGAAGAGAUGGUGAUACAAGUGCAAUUUGGAUGGUAGAUAUAGGUAUUUGUAAUCUGAAAAUAUAAAAACAGCAAGGUAACAAGUGAUAAAAGUGAGCGUAAACGGUAUUGCAAUGCUAGGAAACAAGGCCUAAGGUUCAUACUUUCACUAGUGCAAGUUCUCUCAACAAUAUUAACAUAACUGGAUCACAUAACUAUCCCUCAACAUGCAACAAAGAGUCACUCCAAAGACACUAAUAGUGGAGAAAAAACAAAGAGAUUAUGGUAGGGUACGAAACCACCUCAAAGUUAUCCUUUCUGUUCUAUCUAUUCAAGAGUCCGUAGUAAAAUAACAUGAAGCUAUUCUUACCGUUCAAUCUAUCAUAGAGUUUGUACUAGAAUAGCACCUUAAGACACAAAUCAACCAAAGCGUCACCUAGAUACUCCAUUGUCACUCAAGUAUCCGUGGGCAUGAUUAUACGAUAUGCAUCACAUAAUCUCAGAUUCAUCUAUUCAACCAACACAAAGUACUUCAAAGAGUGCCCCAAAGUUUCUACCGGAGAGUCAAGACAAAAACGUGUGCCAACCUCUAUGCAUAGAUUCCCAAGGUCACGGAACACGCAAGUUGAUCACCAAAACAUAAAUCAAGUGGAUCACGUGAAUAUCCCAUUGUCACCAUAGAUAAGCACGGGAAGACAUACAUCAAGUGUUCUCAAAUCCUUAAAGACUCAAUCCAAUAAGAUAAUUUCAAAGGGAAAACUCAAUCCAUUACAAGAGAGUAGAGGCACUACUAAGAAAAAGGCUACUAGCAGCGCGGGUAAAAUGGCUACUAGCAGCAUGGGUACCCGCGCUACUAGUAUCGCGCUACAACUAAUAGUUAGUAGUAGCGCGGGUGAAACCCAAAGUACUACUAACAUUUUAGUAGUAGCGCGGAUGCAACCCGCGCUACUAGUAAUGAAAUAGUAGUAGCGCCUCAGGUUUUUUCCCAUGAUACUACUAAAAAGUUAGUAGUAGCCUGGAUGCAAACCCACGCUACUACUAACGAAGUAGUAGUAGCGCCUCUGGUGUUUUCCCACGCUACUACUAACUAAUUAGGAGUUAAAAAAAUCCACCAAUUCCAUUCUAUGCGUACAAUUCCAACUAAAACAAACACAUAUUUGCAAUAAACCAGCAGCAUUACACAUCAUUACUGAUCCAAGAUUUAUAAUAAACCAGCGGCAUUAGAGCACAUCCUGUAAGAGCAUACAUAUUGUCAUGGCUUUUCAUGCCUGCAAUUAAAACACCUACACGUCUUGCCAAGUCACUUACUCCCAUCUAGUGCAAACACAGUUACAAGCAAACCAAAAUGCAUAAAAACACCAAACAGUGGCAUCCUAUCUCUUCAAAUGAUCCGCUCCCUGUGCAUCCUUGCAAGCAUCUUCACGAUAAGCAAAUCCGCAGGAAAAAAGUCAACUUAGCAUGUACUCCCUCUGUCAACUAUCUAGAGUAGAUUUUAUCAUUUCCCUGGCCAUGUUCAAGAAAUACUAAAUUAAGAAUAUUUUUCUACUCUAAAUACAGGAGGCAUCGGACAGAAAACAAAAGAUGAGCAAUAUCAUAUGAGCAGAAUAAAAAGGAGUUUGGACCAUAGCAUGGUUAACAAUAAAAUAUAGUGCUCUAACAAAAGCAAGAGUGCAACACGUUGCCCUGUUCCCCUUUCAAAUAUCAACACACUAAAAAAGGCAAUAAACACAUACAUAUAAUUUUGGA
Molecule: long non-coding RNA, 4507 nt
Filed under: Triticum aestivum (bread wheat)
Lineage: Eukaryota; Viridiplantae; Streptophyta; Magnoliopsida; Poales; Poaceae
Description: long non-coding RNA (TAES_LNC002474)
Source: RNAcentral